RNAcentral lists this ribosomal RNA (460 nucleotides) under uncultured bacterium. RNAcentral describes it as "partial 16S ribosomal RNA". It matches the Rfam family "Bacterial small subunit ribosomal RNA", at positions 338 to 795 of the family's 1533-position model. The record is from RNAcentral.
CCUACGGUGGACAGCAGUGAGGAAUAUUGGUCAAUGGGCGCGAGCCUGAACCAGCCAAGUAGCGUGAAGGAUGACUGCCCUACGGGUUGUACACUUCUUUUAUAAAGGAAUAAAGUGAGGCACGUGUGCCUUUUUGUAUGUACUUUAUGAACAAGUAUCGGCUAACUCGGUGCCAGCAGCCGCGGUAAUACGGAGGAUCCGAGCGUAAUCCGGAGUUAAUGGGUUUAAAGGGAGCGGAGAUGGGUUGUUAAGUCAGUUGUGAAAGUUUGCGGCUCAACCGUAAAAUUGCAAUUGAUACUGGCAGUCUUGAGUACAGUUGAGGUAGGCGGAAUUCGUGGUGUAGCGGUGAAAUGCUUAGAUAUCACGAAGAACUCCGAUUGCGAAGGCAGCUUACUAAACUGCCACUGACAUUGAUGCUCGAAAGUGUGGGUAUCAAACAGGAUUAGAUACCCCUGUAGUC